UACGUAGGGGGCAAGCGUUGUCCGGAUUCAUUGGGCGUAAAGAGCGUGUAGGCGGCCAGGCAGGUCCGCUGUGAAAACUCGAGGCUCAACCUCGAGAUGUCGGUGGAAACCGUCUGGCUAGAGUCCGGAAGAGGAGAGUGGAAUUCCCGGUGUAGCGGUGAAGUGCGCAGAUAUCGGGAAGAACACCCGUGGCGAAGGCGGCUCUCUGGGACGGUACUGACGCUGAGACGCGAAAGCGUGGGGAGCGAACAGG
Molecule: ribosomal RNA, 253 nt
Filed under: uncultured bacterium
Lineage: Bacteria
Description: partial 16S ribosomal RNA
Rfam family: Bacterial small subunit ribosomal RNA
Source: RNAcentral